This 412-nucleotide ribosomal RNA is filed under the name uncultured bacterium. RNAcentral describes it as "bacterial SSU rRNA". It matches the Rfam family "Bacterial small subunit ribosomal RNA", at positions 505 to 916 of the family's 1533-position model. The record is from RNAcentral.
GUGCCAGCCGCCGCGGUAAUACGUAGGUGGCAAGCGUUGUCCGGAAUUAUUGGGCGUAAAGAGCAUGUAGGUGGGCUUUUAAGUCCGAUGUGAAAAUGCGGGGCUCAACCCCGUAUGGCAUUGGAUACUGGAAGUCUUGAGUGCAGGAGAGGAAAGGGGAAUUCCCAGUGUAGCGGUGAAAUGCGUAGAUAUUGGGAGGAACACCAGUGGCGAAGGCGCCUUUCUGGACUGUGUCUGACACUGAGAUGCGAAAGCUAGGGUAGCAAACGGGAUUAGAUACCCCGGUAGUCCUAGCCGUAAACGAUGGGUACUAGGUGUAGGGGGUAUCGACCCCCCCUGUGCCGGAGUUAACGCAAUAAGUACCCCGCCUGGGGACUACGGUCGCAAGACUGAAACUCAAAUGAAUUGACGG